GAAUUGCCAAGCACGCAAAGAACGUAAUAAGCAGCGAGGGCAAUGGGGCAUACAAGCUCGAAUGUAAUAAAAACAAAAUAUGUGCAAUAUAUAAUAUAAAUGAAAUGUUCCAAGUGCAAU
Long non-coding RNA from Drosophila navojoa, 120 nucleotides. Lineage: Eukaryota; Metazoa; Arthropoda; Insecta; Diptera; Drosophilidae. The record is from RefSeq and is a predicted model, not a curated record.